CGGUCGGCGGCGGUUUAGAACCGUGGAAGAAGACGCGGACAUCAGGCCUGCUGUCCGUGAUCGCGAACGCUGCGUCCAUGUAAUCGCAGCCCACCAGUUCUGGCCACGGCGUCUUCUCGUCUUCACGCGGCCCGGCAACCUUUCCUCCUUCCAUCCUUCGUACUUUUGAUCGAGCCCCACAACACGAAAUUAAGGAGAAGCGGCAAACACGAGCAGAUCUUCCUUCUUUUUUCUGCAAAAAAGAAGAAGAAGAGAAAUACGCAGAUCGACCGGCACUUUUCUUGGCUGCCUUUCGAUCCCUGCUCAUAUAUUUAUGUUGCUCGCACGCGAGUUCGACUCGGACUCAACACAGAUGCAACCCGACCUGAACGUUGCACUCCUAUUCUAGUCGGAUUGGGCGCUGUAUUUGCCAUUGGCCGGUAAAGAAUUUAGAUGCCAGCCAUAUGAGUGUAGAUCAAUUGUCUCGGAACUAUGAAAAUGCGCUGCAUGGUGGCACUACUCUUGUCCAUUGCAAGGCUGGAAGAGCUCGAAGCACUACCAUGGUUGUGUGCUAUUUGGCUGUUGAAGGUUUUAGAACUAACAUUUCAGUUGAGACAUCAAGUGUGCUAAAUUCUGGUCAAGAAUUCAUCACAGGUUCAGAUGUUGAGGGGCCUAGGAAGUAUGAUGUUGAUGUCCCUCAGUGGAGUUGGUUUUAAUCCGUCACAAGCCUAUCAUUUCGAUGACAUCUACCGGAUGAUUGAGGACUACCAACAACUUCGUACUCCCUUCGCGUAUUAAAUCGGUACCAAUUAAUAUGAAAUGGAGGGAGUACCAUUUUGCUUGGCUUACCUGGUAGAUAAAUUCACAUGCUUAUUUUUCCAAUCGUGGAUCAGUAGGGUGUGAAUAAUCAGCAUUAGUAUUUCCCAGCCUGCCGAACGCCCCUGGGGAGAAGAGAGAUUAAAGUUCGCCUAAAUGAUUGCCAAUCACCAUGACUUGUUAACACAGUUCUAAACUUGUAAUGUCAAAUGUCUGCUGCACGUUCGCCAUUCUGCUUUGU
Molecule: long non-coding RNA, 1036 nt
Organism: Brachypodium distachyon (stiff brome)
Lineage: Eukaryota; Viridiplantae; Streptophyta; Magnoliopsida; Poales; Poaceae
Exons: 3
Source: RefSeq, a predicted model, not a curated record